Molecule: ribosomal RNA, 455 nt
Filed under: uncultured bacterium
Lineage: Bacteria
Description: bacterial SSU rRNA
Rfam family: Bacterial small subunit ribosomal RNA
Source: RNAcentral
UACGGAAGGCAGCAGUGGGGAAUAUUGCACAAUGGGCGCAAGCCUGAUGCAGCCAUGCCGCGUGUAUGAAAAAGGCCUUCGGGUUGUAAAGUACUUUCAGUCGUGAGGAAGGUGUUAAGGUUAAUAACCUUAGCAAUUGACGUUAGCGACAGAAGAAGCACCGGCUAACUCCGUGCCAGCAGCCGCGGUAAUACGGAGGGUGCGAGCGUUAAUCGGAAUUACUGGGCGUAAAGGGCACGCAGGCGGUUAAUUAAGUUGGAUGUGAAAUCCCCGGGCUUAACCUGGGAAUGGCAUUCAAGACUGGUUAGCUAGAGUCUUGUAGAGGGGGUAGAAUUCCAUGUGUAGCGGUGAAAUGCGUAGAGAUGUGGAGGAAUACCGGUGGCGAAGGCGGCCCCUGGACAAAGACUGACGCUCAUGUGCGAAAGCGUGGGGAGCAAACGAGGGAUUACGAUACC